RNAcentral lists this ribosomal RNA (354 nucleotides) under uncultured bacterium. RNAcentral describes it as "bacterial SSU rRNA". It matches the Rfam family "Bacterial small subunit ribosomal RNA", at positions 917 to 1269 of the family's 1533-position model. The record is from RNAcentral.
GGACCCGCACAAGUAGUGGAGCAUGUGGUUUAAUUCGAAGAUACGCGCAGAACCUUACCAACACUUGACAUGUUCGUCGCGACUUUAAGAGAUUAAAGUUUUCGGUUCGGCCGGACGAAACACAGGUGCUGCAUGGCUGUCGUCAGCUCGUGUCGUGAGAUGUUGGUUAAGUCCCGCAACGAGCGCAACCCUCACUUUUAGUUGCCAUCAUUAAGUUGGGCACUCUGAAAGAACUGCCAGUGAUAAGCUGGAGGAAGGUGGGGAUGACGUCAAGUCCUCAUGGCCCUUACGUGUUGGGCUACACACGUGCUACAAUGGUAUCUACAACAGGAAGCAAAACAGCGAUGUUAAGCA